AACCUCCGCAAUGUGAGAAAUCGCGACGGGGGGAUCCCAAGUGCCAUUCUUAACGGGAUGGCUUUUCAUUAGUGUAAAGAGCUUUUGGAAUAAGAGCUGGGCAAGACCGGUGCCAGCCGCCGCGGUAACACCGGCAGCUCUAGUGGUAACAAUUUUUAUUGGGCCUAAAGCGUCCGUAGCCGGUUUAAUAAGUCUCUGGUGAAAUCCUGUAGCUUAACUGUGGGAAUUGCUGGAGAUACUAUUAGACUUGAGACCGGGAGAGGUUAGAGGUACUCCCAGGGUAGAGGUGAAAUUCUGUAAUCCUGGGAGGACCGCCUGUUGCGAAGGCGUCUAACUGGAACGGUUCUGACGGUGAGGGACGAAAGUUAGGGGCGCGAACCGGAUUAGAUACCCGGGUAGUCCUAACUGUAAACGAUGCGGACUUGGUGUUGGGGUGGCUUUGAGCUGCUCCAGUGCCGAAGGGAAGCUGUUAAGUCCGCCGCCUGGGAAGUACGGUCGCAAGACUGAAACUUAAAGGAAUG
This 521-nucleotide ribosomal RNA is filed under the name uncultured bacterium. RNAcentral describes it as "bacterial SSU rRNA". It matches the Rfam family "Archaeal small subunit ribosomal RNA", at positions 345 to 866 of the family's 1478-position model. The record is from RNAcentral.